RNAcentral lists this ribosomal RNA (467 nucleotides) under uncultured bacterium. RNAcentral's name for it is "partial 16S ribosomal RNA". It matches the Rfam family "Bacterial small subunit ribosomal RNA", at positions 28 to 506 of the family's 1533-position model. The record is from RNAcentral.
GACGAACGCUGGCGGCGUGCUUAACACAUGCAAGUCGAACGGAAAGGCCCUGCUUUUGUGGGGUGCUCGAGUGGCGAACGGGUGAGUAACACGUGAGUAACCUGCCCUUGACUUUGGGAUAACUUCAGGAAACUGGGGCUAAUACCGGAUAGGAGCUCCUGCUGCAUGGUGGGGGUUGGAAAGUUUCGGCGGUUGGGGAUGGACUCGCGGCUUAUCAGCUUGUUGGUGGGGUAGUGGCUUACCAAGGCUUUGACGGGUAGCCGGCCUGAGAGGGUGACCGGCCACAUUGGGACGGGGAAGCGACCCAGACCCCAGCGGGAGGCAAGAGUGGGAAAUAUGGAAAAAGGGGCGGAAGCCUGAUGGAGCAACCCCGGGUGGGGGAUACCGGCCUUCGGGUGAUAAACCGCUUUCGCCUGGCGCGAAGCGGAAGGAGCGGUAAUGGAUAAAGAAGCACGGGCAAACUCAGG